This 1331-nucleotide long non-coding RNA is filed under the name Capsicum annuum. RNAcentral describes it as "long non-coding RNA (CANN_LNC007947)". The record is from RNAcentral. Lineage: Eukaryota; Viridiplantae; Streptophyta; Magnoliopsida; Solanales; Solanaceae.
ACAAUCAAUUUAUUUUUCAAAUCCUUUUGUAGCUGUACGAGCUCUUCCCGCAUGCCACAAAUGACCUAAGAAGAAGAAAAAUCCUAGAACAAAAUAAGAGGUAGCUACAAAGGUGGAUCUAUUAAUUAGUCAUGUCAUAUAGGCUCGAGUUGGACAUCCAAUUUCUUUGAUUUGAAUUAUUCAGAGAAUGCAAUGCCUGAUAUAAAAAAUAUGGAUAAUCAAACCUAUUUCUCGAUUCACUCAGAGAGGUGAAUAGGGUCCCAAUAGAGAUAUGUAAAAUGCAGGUUCGAUUAUGCAUAUUUCUAAUGCUAAAUGGAAUGUUGGUAAAACUUAUGUUCCACGUCAAUAAAGACUACAAACUGGUAUUGCUAACGAGAAUCUAACAAAGCGAGGUUGCUAAAGAAAAGCUUAUUUCGGAUUUGUAUACGAGAAUAAGAAGAAUGGAAGUACAAGAGGACAAGAAGGAGGAGAGGCGGGUACAGUUUUACGUCAGUUUCAUUUGCUUGGUAACCUCUUUCCCGGUCAAAGAUAGGAAAGAGCCGUGAAAUCACUUUACUCUCGUGCAUUUAUAAUAUUGUAUUAAAGUUUAAGAUAUCAUAAGCAUCUUGCUUUUCUUUUCAAGAUAUAUUAAACACCUAAGGUUCUGUUAAAGUAUCCUUAAUAACAUCUCUUUCUCUAGAAUACAGGCUUGUAGAUCUUUGGAUGCCUAAACUAGUCCCCCUCCUCUGUUUCUUCAAAGACAAAGAUACACAUCACAGGAAAAAAACUCCAAAACAGAAAAAUAAAAAAGUAAGUAAAAAAAUAGGGCCAGAACAGGUGGUUGGUAUACCAUAAUAAUAAAUCUUUGUAUUUUUAUACGGAUCGGAUUUAUGUAGGUUUUGUUGGGAGGCUCGCAUAGUUAGUUACAUCAGCUCCAAAAUAAUAAGUUGCAUUGGAAUUUAUAAAUUUCUGGUUAUUCACAUUUUCUAUUCAUUGUCCUGAGCUAGGAGUCUAUCGGAAACAACCUCUCUACUUCUUCGGAGGUAGCGGUAUGGGCUGCAUACAUUUUAACCUCCCCAGACCUUACUUUGUGGGAAUACACUGGGUUUUUUGUUGUUGUUGUUGGUUAUUCAAAUUUCAUUUGAUGGUCAGAGGCGAAUUAAAAGCUAAGCAGUGGGGCUCCUUGUUCUUCACUUUGUCUUGUUGGCAAAUAAAAUAAGUAUCCACAUAGACUUCGAUCUUUUCUCUCACUUGCAACCAAUAAUAUGCCUACUAGUACACUUUCUUUACAAGGGAACUAGGCAGGGGAACUUACUUCACUUGCUUUUUAUUUAAUGGUACUUCAAGAUUGG